GGGUUGUGAGGUUAAGCGACUAAGCGUACACGGUGGAUGCCCUGGCAGUCAGAGGCGAUGAAGGACGUGCUAAUCUGCGAUAAGCGUCGGUAAGGUGAUAUGAACCGUUAUAACCGGCGAUUUCCGAAUGGGGAAACCCAGUGUGUUUCGACACACUAUCAUUAACUGAAUCCAUAGGUUAAUGAGGCGAACCGGGGGAACUGAAACAUCUAAGUACCCCGAGGAAAAGAAAUCAACCGAGAUUCCCCCAGUAGCGGCGAGCGAACGGGGAGCAGCCCAGAGCCUGAAUCAGUGUGUGUGUUAGUGGAAGCGUCUGGAAAGGCGCGCGAUACAGGGUGACAGCCCCGUACACAAAAAUGCACAUGCUGUGAGCUCGAUGAGUAGGGCGGGACACGUGGUAUCCUGUCUGAAUAUGGGGGGACCAUCCUCCAAGGCUAAAUACUCCUGACUGACCGAUAGUGAACCAGUACCGUGAGGGAAAGGCGAAAAGAACCCCGGCGAGGGGAGUGAAAAAGAACCUGAAACCGUGUACGUACAAGCAGUGGGAGCACGCUUAGGCGUGUGACUGCGUACCUUUUGUAUAAUGGGUCAGCGACUUAUAUUCUGUAGCAAGGUUAACCGAAUAGGGGAGCCGAAGGGAAACCGAGUCUUAACUGGGCGUUAAGUUGCAGGGUAUAGACCCGAAACCCGGUGAUCUAGCCAUGGGCAGGUUGAAGGUUGGGUAACACUAACUGGAGGACCGAACCGACUAAUGUUGAAAAAUUAGCGGAUGACUUGUGGCUGGGGGUGAAAGGCCAAUCAAACCGGGAGAUAGCUGGUUCUCCCCGAAAGCUAUUUAGGUAGCGCCUCGUGAAUUCAUCUCCGGGGGUAGAGCACUGUUUCGGCAAGGGGGUCAUCCCGACUUACCAACCCGAUGCAAACUGCGAAUACCGGAGAAUGUUAUCACGGGAGACACACGGCGGGUGCUAACGUCCGUCGUGAAGAGGGAAACAACCCAGACCGCCAGCUAAGGUCCCAAAGUCAUGGUUAAGUGGGAAACGAUGUGGGAAGGCCCAGACAGCCAGGAUGUUGGCUUAGAAGCAGCCAUCAUUUAAAGAAAGCGUAAUAGCUCACUGGUCGAGUCGGCCUGCGCGGAAGAUGUAACGGGGCUAAACCAUGCACCGAAGCUGCGGCAGCGACGCUGAUGCGUUGUUGGGUAGGGGAGCGUUCUGUAAGCCUGCGAAGGUGUGCUGUGAGGCAUGCUGGAGGUAUCAGAAGUGCGAAUGCUGACAUAAGUAACGAUAAAGCGGGUGAAAAGCCCGCUCGCCGGAAGACCAAGGGUUCCUGUCCAACGUUAAUCGGGGCAGGGUGAGUCGACCCCUAAGGCGAGGCCGAAAGGCGUAGUCGAUGGGAAACAGGUUAAUAUUCCUGUACUUGGUGUUACUGCGAAGGGGGGACGGAGAAGGCUAUGUUGGCCGGGCGACGGUUGUCCCGGUUUAAGCGUGUAGGCUGGUUUUCCAGGCAAAUCCGGAAAAUCAAGGCUGAGGCGUGAUGACGAGGCACUACGGUGCUGAAGCAACAAAUGCCCUGCUUCCAGGAAAAGCCUCUAAGCAUCAGGUAACAUCAAAUCGUACCCCAAACCGACACAGGUGGUCAGGUAGAGAAUACCAAGGCGCUUGAGAGAACUCGGGUGAAGGAACUAGGCAAAAUGGUGCCGUAACUUCGGGAGAAGGCACGCUGAUAUGUAGGUGAGGUCCCUCGCGGAUGGAGCUGAAAUCAGUCGAAGAUACCAGCUGGCUGCAACUGUUUAUUAAAAACACAGCACUGUGCAAACACGAAAGUGGACGUAUACGGUGUGACGCCUGCCCGGUGCCGGAAGGUUAAUUGAUGGGGUUAGCGCAAGCGAAGCUCUUGAUCGAAGCCCCGGUAAACGGCGGCCGUAACUAUAACGGUCCUAAGGUAGCGAAAUUCCUUGUCGGGUAAGUUCCGACCUGCACGAAUGGCGUAAUGAUGGCCAGGCUGUCUCCACCCGAGACUCAGUGAAAUUGAACUCGCUGUGAAGAUGCAGUGUACCCGCGGCAAGACGGAAAGACCCCGUGAACCUUUACUAUAGCUUGACACUGAACAUUGAGCCUUGAUGUGUAGGAUAGGUGGGAGGCUUAGAAGUGUGGACGCCAGUCUGCAUGGAGCCGACCUUGAAAUACCACCCUUUAAUGUUUGAUGUUCUAACGUUGACCCGUAAUCCGGGUUGCGGACAGUGUCUGGUGGGUAGUUUGACUGGGGCGGUCUCCUCCUAAAGAGUAACGGAGGAGCACGAAGGUUGGCUAAUCCUGGUCGGACAUCAGGAGGUUAGUGCAAUGGCAUAAGCCAGCUUGACUGCGAGCGUGACGGCGCGAGCAGGUGCGAAAGCAGGUCAUAGUGAUCCGGUGGUUCUGAAUGGAAGGGCCAUCGCUCAACGGAUAAAAGGUACUCCGGGGAUAACAGGCUGAUACCGCCCAAGAGUUCAUAUCGACGGCGGUGUUUGGCACCUCGAUGUCGGCUCAUCACAUCCUGGGGCUGAAGUAGGUCCCAAGGGUAUGGCUGUUCGCCAUUUAAAGUGGUACGCGAGCUGGGUUUAGAACGUCGUGAGACAGUUCGGUCCCUAUCUGCCGUGGGCGCUGGAGAACUGAGGGGGGCUGCUCCUAGUACGAGAGGACCGGAGUGGACGCAUCACUGGUGUUCGGGUUGUCAUGCCAAUGGCACUGCCCGGUAGCUAAAUGCGGAAGAGAUAAGUGCUGAAAGCAUCUAAGCACGAAACUUGCCCCGAGAUGAGUUCUCCCUGACUCCUUGAGAGUCCUGAAGGAACGUUGAAGACGACGACGUUGAUAGGCCGGGUGUGUAAGCGCAGCGAUGCGUUGAGCUAACCGGUACUAAUGAACCGUGAGGCUUAACCUUACAACGCCGAAG
RNAcentral lists this ribosomal RNA (2925 nucleotides) under Escherichia coli. Its description in RNAcentral is "bacterial LSU rRNA". It matches the Rfam family "Bacterial large subunit ribosomal RNA". The record is from RNAcentral. RNAcentral also lists the same sequence under 1 other name. Lineage: Bacteria; Pseudomonadati; Pseudomonadota; Gammaproteobacteria; Enterobacterales; Enterobacteriaceae.